RNAcentral lists this ribosomal RNA (463 nucleotides) under uncultured bacterium. Its description in RNAcentral is "bacterial SSU rRNA". It matches the Rfam family "Bacterial small subunit ribosomal RNA", at positions 27 to 507 of the family's 1533-position model. The record is from RNAcentral.
GGACGAACGCUGGCGGCGUGCUUAACACAUGCAAGUCGAACGGUAAGGCCCUUCGGGGUACACGAGUGGCGAACAGGUGAGUAACACGUGGGUGAUCUGCCCUGCACUUCGGGAUAAGCCUGGGAAACUGGGUCUAAUACCGGAUAGGACUCCUGGCUUCAUGGUUGGGGGUGUAAAGCUUUUGCGGUGUGGGAUGGGCCCGCGGCCUAUCAGCUUGUUGGUGGGGUAAUGGCCUACCAAGGCGACGACGGGUAGCCGGCCUGAGAGGGUGACCGGCCACACUGGGACUGAGAUACGGCCCAGACUCCUACGGGAGGCAGCAGUGGGGAAUAUUGCACAAUGGGCGCAAGCCUGAUGCAGCGACGCCGCGUGAGGGAUGACGGCCUUCGGGUUGUAAACCUCUUUCAAUAGGGACGAAGCGCAAGUGACGGUACCUAUAGAAGAAGGACCGGCCAACUACGUG